CCUGUCCAAUAUAACAUCAACAGUAAAUAACUAAACCAAACUAAAAUUUUAGAACAAGAAAGGGAGGGGAAGAAAGAUUAACCUGAUCAACAGCUACAACAGAUCCUAUGCCAUUGAACCAGUAGGAUUCCCUCCUGAGAAUCUUCACCUGUAUAUUGAAAGGCAUUUAAACAUCUUUUUUUAUCUUAAUUGCUAGACUAUUUGCUUGUAAGAUGUAUUCCUUUUGUCCACUUUCUUAUAGAGUAUACUCAUUCACCAAAGAAAGUUCGAAUGGAAAUGAAAACUUGAUUGGAAACAAGGUAACCAAAAGCUCAAUAAAUCCUCCUCCUCCUCCUCCUCCUC
This 342-nucleotide unclassified non-coding RNA is filed under the name Hevea brasiliensis (rubber tree). The record is from RNAcentral. Lineage: Eukaryota; Viridiplantae; Streptophyta; Magnoliopsida; Malpighiales; Euphorbiaceae.